This 76-nucleotide transfer RNA is filed under the name Sporomusa termitida. Its description in RNAcentral is "tRNA-Lys". It matches the Rfam family "tRNA". Rfam says of the family: Transfer RNA (tRNA) molecules are approximately 80 nucleotides in length. Their secondary structure includes four short double-helical elements and three loops (D, anti-codon, and T loops). Lineage: Bacteria; Bacillati; Bacillota; Negativicutes; Selenomonadales; Sporomusaceae. The record is from RNAcentral.
GACCUACUAGCUCAGUUGGUAGAGCACCUGACUUUUAAUCAGGGUGUCCCGCGUUCGAGUCGCGGGUGGGUCACCA